GAUGAACGCUAGCGACAGGCUUAACACAUGCAAGUCGAGGGGCAGCGGGGGUAGCGAUACCCGCCGGCGACCGGCGCACGGGUGAGUAACGCGUAUGCAACUUGCCUAUCAGAGGGGGAUAACCCGGCGAAAGUCGGACUAAUACCGCAUGAAGCAGGGGCCCCGCAUGGGGGUAUUUGCUAAAGAUUCAUCGCUGAUAGAUAGGCAUGCGUUCCAUUAGGCAGUUGGCGGGGUAACGGCCCACCAAACCGACGAUGGAUAGGGGUUCUGAGAGGAAGGUCCCCCACAUUGGUACUGAGACACGGACCAAACUCCUACGGGAGGCAGCAGUGAGGAAUAUUGGUCAAUGGCCGAGAGGCUGAACCAGCCAAGUCGCGUGAGGGAUGAAGGUUCUAUGGAUCGUAAACCUCUUUUAUAAGGGAAUAAAGUGCGGGACGUGUCCCGUUUUGUAUGUACCUUAUGAAUAAGGAUCGGCUAACUCCGUGCCAGCAGCCGCGGUAAUACGGAGGAUCCGAGCGUUAUCCGGAUUUAUUGGGUUUAAAGGGUGCGUAGGCGGCCUUUUAAGUCAGCGGUGAAAGUCUGUGGCUCAACCAUAGAAUUGCCGUUGAAACUGGGGGGCUUGAGUAUGUUUGAGGCAGGCGGAAUGCGUGGUGUAGCGGUGAAAUGCUUAGAUAUCACGCAGAACCCCGAUUGCGAAGGCAGCCUGCCAAGCCAUGACUGACGCUGAUGCACGAAAGCGUGGGGAUCAAACAGGAUUAGAUACCCUGGUAGUCCACGCAGUAAACGAUGAUCACUAGCUGUUUGCGAUACAUUGUAAGCGGCACAGCGAAAGCGUUAAGUGAUCCACCUGGGGAGUACGCCGGCAACGGUGAAACUCAAAGGAAUUGACGGGGGCCCGCACAAGCGGAGGAACAUGUGGUUUAAUUCGAUGAUACGCGAGGAACCUUACCCGGGUUUGAACGCAUUCGGACCGAGGUGGAAACACCUUUUCUAGCAAUAGCCGUUUGCGAGGUGCUGCAUGGUUGUCGUCAGCUCGUGCCGUGAGGUGUCGGCUUAAGUGCCAUAACGAGCGCAACCCUUGCCACUAGUUACUAACAGGUAAAGCUGAGGACUCUGGUGGGACUGCCAGCGUAAGCUGCGAGGAAGGCGGGGAUGACGUCAAAUCAGCACGGCCCUUACAUCCGGGGCGACACACGUGUUACAAUGGCGUGGACAAAGGGAGGCCACCUGGCGACAGGGAGCGAAUCCCCAAACCACGUCUCAGUUCGGAUCGGAGUCUGCAACCCGACUCCGUGAAGCUGGAUUCGCUAGUAAUCGCGCAUCAGCCAUGGCGCGGUGAAUACGUUCCCGGGCCU
RNAcentral lists this ribosomal RNA (1355 nucleotides) under uncultured bacterium. RNAcentral describes it as "bacterial SSU rRNA". It matches the Rfam family "Bacterial small subunit ribosomal RNA", at positions 28 to 1381 of the family's 1533-position model. The record is from RNAcentral.